CUUAGGAUGAACGCUGGCGGCAGGCUAAUACAUGCAAGUCGAACGGUAAGGCCGCCUGUAGCAAUACAGGGGGUACACGAGUGGCGCACGGGUGCGUAACGCGUAUGCAACCUGCCCCCGACCGGGACAAAACAGCUGGAAACGGCUGCUAAUAUCCCAUGGUCAUCCCGGGAGGGCAUCCUCCUGGAUGUAAAGAUUCAUUGGUCGGGGAUGGGCAUGCGUAUUAUUAGGUAGUUGGCGGGGUAACGGCCCACCAAGCCGACGAUGAUUAGGGGUCCUGAGAGGGUUAACCCCCACACUGGAACUGAGACACGGUCCAGACUCCUACGGGAGGCAGCAGUAGGGAAUAUUGGGCAAUGGGAGCAAUCCUGACCCAGCCAUGCCCGCGUGAAGGAAGACGGCCCUAUGGGUUGUAAACUUCUUUUGCCGCAGAGUAAACCCGGUCACGUGUGGCCGGUUGAGAGUAUGCGGCGAAUAAGUAUCGGCUAACUCCGUGCCAGCCGCGGC
RNAcentral lists this ribosomal RNA (507 nucleotides) under uncultured bacterium. RNAcentral describes it as "bacterial SSU rRNA". It matches the Rfam family "Bacterial small subunit ribosomal RNA", at positions 23 to 518 of the family's 1533-position model. The record is from RNAcentral.